UGAGGUAUGAAAGUCUAAGCAGACACAGACUUUUCCACUUUGGUUUGCCAAAGUACUCCAGUCAGGAUGAAGAGCUUGUAAGCUGUUCUGAUCCCCAGCAGAGGCAAAACUGAACCUGUCAGCCCUGAUGAUUAUUGUGAGUAACUAGAGUGGUUAAGGCUGUUAGCCUGCCAAGAGAGCCAUGGUGGACAACAAGGAAAUCAUCAGGUGUGCAAAAGGUUUCUGUGUCACACAGUCCAUAGAAAGGAAAUAACAAAAAGUUCAGAAUAAAGAAGACCUCGUUUCCACAGGGAGAAGAGAUCGUGCCAGAAGGUGCUGUAUAUCUUAGUCCUGGAUGUCAAACAUCCCUACCCAGACAAGCAGGAAAAUGGGUGGAAAAUCGUGGGACUGUCUGGGGACUGGGAGCAAAAGAGCCACAGCAAAGAAACUCAGUAGAUUCUUCACUUCCGUCUUGCAGUUUACAAAUCUGGAAAAUCCUUAUACAGUGUAAAAAGGAGGAGAUGCAUUCCUCAUGCCUCCCAGAGUCCAUUUCUGGGAGCCAUCUGCAGUCAUUUUUACAGUAAUAAAGGGUUGUAUUCAGAAUUGCUGGGGACAUCUGCUGAUAAGAGGCUAUUGAAUGUCACUGCAUGACUGAUAAGAACUAUAACCUCCCAUUGUGAGAUACUCAGCCCAGAGGGAGGAGCCAAGCAUUGCUACCCAGAUAUAAUCUGGAGGUUCUGACCCACCAGCACGACUUUCUCCACUGGCUUCCCCAGAUGAACAGCAGCUGCUUCUACUUCCAUGGAUCUGCAGAGGAAGAAUACAUCCUUUUUUCUACAGGACUCCCCUGCUCCAACAGAACCACACCUGACACUUCAGGAGGACUGCAGCCACUUUUCCAACUGGACUGCUACCAACACCCUGACCAACAGGGUGUCAGGUUGAAUUCUGACUCUGUCAGUGUCCUAGUGUAUUGCAUUGUUUUAUUUUAUCCUUUUUUUUUUUCCCUUCCCUAUUAAAGAACUCUUAUUUCCUGCUCCCA
Long non-coding RNA from Haemorhous mexicanus (house finch), 1021 nucleotides. RefSeq lists it as uncharacterized. The transcript has 5 exons. NCBI's taxonomy places the organism in Eukaryota, Metazoa, Chordata, Aves, Passeriformes, Fringillidae. The record is from RefSeq and is a predicted model, not a curated record.